UGAUUCAAGACACUUGGAGGUGCAGU
Molecule: non-coding RNA, 26 nt
Filed under: Homo sapiens (human)
Lineage: Eukaryota; Metazoa; Chordata; Mammalia; Primates; Hominidae
Source: RNAcentral